RNAcentral lists this ribosomal RNA (253 nucleotides) under uncultured bacterium. RNAcentral's name for it is "partial 16S ribosomal RNA". It matches the Rfam family "Bacterial small subunit ribosomal RNA", at positions 524 to 776 of the family's 1533-position model. The record is from RNAcentral.
UACGAAGGGGGCUAGCGUUGUUCGGAAUUACUGGGCGUAAAGCGUGCGCAGGCGGCUUCUCAAGUCAGGGGUGAAAGCCCAGAGCUCAACUCUGGAAUUGCCUUUGAGACUGAGUGGCUUGAGUACGAGAGAGGUGAGUGGAAUUCCCAGUGUAGAGGUGAAAUUCGUAGAUAUUGGGAAGAACACCGGUGGCGAAGGCGGCUCACUGGCUCGUAACUGACGCUGUGGCGCGAAAGCUAGGGGAGCAAACGGG